GAUGAAGAACGUAGCGAAAUGCGAUACGUAAUGUGAAUUGCAGAAUUCAGUGAAUCAUCGAAUCUUUGAACGCAUAUUCCGCUCUUUGGUAUUCCGAAGAGCAUGCUUGUUUGAGUAUCAGUAAACACCUCAACCUCUUCUUGAUUUUUCAAAAGGAGGGUGGACUUGAGCUAUCCCAACAACCUUUACCGGUCGGCGGGCGGCUUGAAAUGCAGGUGCAGCUGGACUUUUAUCUGAGCUAAAAGCAUAUCUAUUUAGUCCUCGUCAAACAGGAUUAUUACUUUUGCUGCAGCUAACAUAAAGGAUAAUUGUCCUCUUUGCUGACUGAUGCAGGAUUUUACGACACUUUAUGUGUUGUUCAACUCGAUCUCAAAUCAAGUAAGACUACCCGCUGAACUUAAGCAUAUCAAUAAGCGGAGGA
This 421-nucleotide unclassified non-coding RNA is filed under the name soil metagenome. RNAcentral's name for it is "partial contains 5.8S ribosomal RNA, internal transcribed spacer 2, and large subunit ribosomal RNA". The stretch from base 1 to 120 matches the Rfam family "5.8S ribosomal RNA", at positions 35 to 154 of the family's 154-position model. The record is from RNAcentral.